This 72-nucleotide transfer RNA is filed under the name Artamus cinereus. RNAcentral's name for it is "tRNA-Glu". It matches the Rfam family "tRNA". Rfam says of the family: Transfer RNA (tRNA) molecules are approximately 80 nucleotides in length. Their secondary structure includes four short double-helical elements and three loops (D, anti-codon, and T loops). The record is from RNAcentral. Lineage: Eukaryota; Metazoa; Chordata; Aves; Passeriformes; Corvidae.
GUUCCUGUAGUUAAAUUUCAAUAACGAUGGCUUUUCAGGCCGUAGAUCUUGGAUAGUAGCCAAGUAGGAAUU